Molecule: ribosomal RNA, 446 nt
Filed under: uncultured bacterium
Lineage: Bacteria
Description: SSU rRNA
Rfam family: Bacterial small subunit ribosomal RNA
Source: RNAcentral
AGAGCGAACGCUGGCGGCAGGCCUAAUACAUGCAAGUCGAACGGAUCCUUCGGGAUUAGUGGCGGACGGGUGAGUAACACGUGGGAACGUGCCCUUUGGUUCGGAACAACUCAGGGAAACUUGAGCUAAUACCGGAUGUGCCCUUCGGGGGAAAGAUUUAUCGCCAUUGGAGCGGCCCGCGUCUGAUUAGCUAGUUGGUGGGGUAAAGGCCUACCAAGGCUACGAUCAGUAGCUGGUCUGAGAGGAUGAUCAGCCACACUGGGACUGAGACACGGCCCAGACUCCUACGGGAGGCAGCAGUAGGGAAUCUUGCGCAAUGGGCGAAAGCCUGACGCAGCCAUGCCGCGUGAAUGAUGAAGGUCUUAGGAUUGUAAAAUUCUUUCAGCGGGGACGAUAAUGACGGUACCCGCAGAAGAAGCCCCGGCUAACUUCGCGCCAGCAGCCGC